GUUUGCUUCAGCAGAGCAUACACUAAAAUUGGAAUAAGACAGAGAAGAUUAGCAAGGAUGACAUGCAAAUUCUUGAAGUGUUCCAUAUUUAA
This 92-nucleotide small nuclear RNA is filed under the name Chinchilla lanigera (long-tailed chinchilla). Lineage: Eukaryota; Metazoa; Chordata; Mammalia; Rodentia; Chinchillidae. The record is from RNAcentral.